This 1200-nucleotide long non-coding RNA is filed under the name Scleropages formosus (Asian bonytongue). RNAcentral describes it as "lncRNA (ENSSFOG00015032428.1)". The record is from RNAcentral. Lineage: Eukaryota; Metazoa; Chordata; Actinopteri; Osteoglossiformes; Osteoglossidae.
ACCCAAAAUCCCUGGUUAACGUUAAGCUUAAACAGAAUUAAAUGACGUAUGAAACCUUUAUGCGUUUGCACUGUAAGAAACAGUAAUUCUACAUUGGGUAUUUGGAAGAAGAUAUCCAUAAGUAUAAAUUAUUUGAAUGGUCAUUUUCUGGAACAUGUGCUGCAGUGAAAAGUGAGAAUUUUUAAAGGUGUUUAAUUAUUGUAAGGUGAUAUUCCUUUCCUUUACCCUACCUGUGUUAGCUGGGCAGAACAGCCAUUAUUGUUAAAGGCUCAUUCUCUGUGCUUGUCUUUUUCUCCUACGAUCAGACUCGAGUUCAGUCUUGUCCUGAGAUUCGAGAAAAAUCUGCUAUUGAGGCUUCACCUGUUUCUCUGACAUGUUCACUCGUGUUCCUUAAAACUACACAUACACCAUCUGAAACCACUUGUCCCCUAAGGGGUUGUGGGGAGCCAGAGCCUAACCCAGCAGCGCAGGGCAAAAGGCUGGAGGGGGAGGGGACGCACCGCCAGUCUGUCGCAAGGCACCCCAAGUGGGACUCGAACCCCAGACCCACUGGAGAGCAGGACCCGGUCCAACCCACUGCGCCCCCAUGCCCCUUCCUUAAAACCAGCACUAUUACAUUUUUUCUGAAGUAUUUAUCCUCUUUUGUACUGUUUUAACAUUUAUUGCAUUGUCAUACAAUAGGCCAAAUCAAGUUAAUUUAGGACUGUUUCAACACAAUGCUUUAUUCACCCUACUGGCUUUUUAAAGCGCUGUUCCCAUGGUGCAGGUACUGUAUCUGUUGCCUUCUAGUUAAGAGAACUUUGUACAAAUCCCUGCACCUGCUCCUACUCUCGUACUGUUGAUCUACAUACUUUACCUGAAUUGCUACAGGAAAAAAACUGUCAGUAUUGUCUUUAAGGACCAUUAAGUCUACUUAAGUAAGUAAUAAGGCAGCCUCUCAAUUGGAAAGUUCUGAGAGAAAAGAUCUGUAAUUAUUCUGUGAUGAUAUAUCAAGUUAGGUAGCAGUGUUUAUUGAAAGGUACUGAGCAAAUCACUCAGCACAAAUAUUUGUAUUUUUUUUUACAUAUUGUGUUUUACAGUACUUUAUGCAUAUGUGUGUGUAUAUAUAUAUAUUCAUUUUAUUUACAUUUUUGUACCUAUAAUAUGUACUAGCACUGUGUGGUGUUACAAUAAAAGAUUGCGGUUUUUCUGCUUUGUCCA